Molecule: long non-coding RNA, 1116 nt
Filed under: Marmota monax (woodchuck)
Lineage: Eukaryota; Metazoa; Chordata; Mammalia; Rodentia; Sciuridae
Source: RNAcentral
CUCAGAGAGCUCAACACUGCUAAAACUUUUGGCAUUUCAAAGGAAUGCAUUCCUCCACUAGCAUGUGUAAAGUAUAUUAUAAAAGAAAUUAAUAUCAGUGAAAAGGUCAAUAGUGAUCUCUUGAGAGCCAAUUGGAUAUAAUCAUGAUGAAUUUUUUACUAAUAUCAGAAAACAAAUUACUGAAGGGCUUUUUAAUUUGAAAAUCAAUCUUUUAUAAUAUUUUUGCCUAAAAUUAUGUUUAGGUAUAUAUUUCAAUGCUUAAUACUAAUGUUAAGUGACAUUUUAGUUCCUACAAUAUUUUACAAUGUAAAGUUUUCUCCUUUUCUUUGAUUCUUUUCUGUGUUUUCUUAAAUGUCAGGGCAUUGUUAAUUAUCUUCAGUCUGUGAAUCUACGAUUUUCAUAAUCAUGAUAUCCUAAGACUUGAGAAUCAGAAGGAAGGGACUUCAGGAAAUCUAAUCACUGGUUCCACAGCUCUCAAAAACUCUCCCCUUAACAGGGCUGUUGCAGCUGCUCCAGGUGUUCUGAGAUUUCACACAUUCAGGUAGAUGUUUCCCUGCCCUUUUGGAAAUCUAAUUGCAGCCUUUGCCAUUUUUCUCUCUGAGACCUGGUCAGACACUGCCAUUUCUCAGUGAAAUUAAGUCCCUUUUUUCACUUUCAUUUUCCCCUCCCCAACCUCCUGACCUUUCUCCUGUUUUGUUCCCUUAAUCUAUGUAGUCUCUCUUUUCAUAUCGUCCAGCACUCUUACAUUGCAUCACUUGAAAACCUUCACUCCAAUAUAAAUGGCCUUACUGCUUCAACUGUUGUCAGAAUGCUUUCUUCACCCUCUCCUCAUAAAAUUCAGGGUAUUCUAUCACUGCAGCCCUCUCUAGUUGCCAUGCACAUUUUUUCACUGCCUAAGCAAUGAAAAAGAUUGGUGUCCCCUUAAUUGCCCAUUUCUAUUCAAAGACCUUUGUUCUUCCUUACUUGAGAGAAGCUGCAGCCCCUUGGAGCUUGCUUUCAUUCAUUUCCAUAACCAGUAGUCUCCCACUGUUGAAUUUGCAGAUAUGCACACCGAACUGCACUUCCUUUCUGUCAUUCUCAGGUGAUAGGUAGCCAUUUUAAUGAGGCUCUCUCCUU